This 253-nucleotide ribosomal RNA is filed under the name uncultured bacterium. RNAcentral describes it as "partial 16S ribosomal RNA". It matches the Rfam family "Bacterial small subunit ribosomal RNA", at positions 524 to 776 of the family's 1533-position model. The record is from RNAcentral.
UACGGAGGGUGCAAACGUUGCUCGGAAUCAUUGGGCGUAAAGCGCACGUAGGCGGUUCGGUAAGUCGGAUGUGAAAUCCCUCGGCUCAACCGAGGAAGGGCAUCCGAAACUGCCGAGCUUGAGUACGGAAGAGGGUCUCGGAAUUCCCGGUGUAGAGGUGAAAUUCGUAGAUAUCGGGAGGAACACCAGUGGCGAAGGCGGCUCACUGGCCCGGUACUGACGCUGAGGUGCGAAAGCGUGGGGAGCAAACAGG